AGAUUGAACGCUAGCGGGAUGCUUUACACAUGCAAGUCGAACGGCAGCGCGGACUUCGGUCUGGCGGCGAGUGGCGAACGGGUGAGUAAUAUAUCGGAACGUGCCCAGUAGCGGGGGAUAACUACGCGAAAGCGUGGCUAAUACCGCAUACGCCCUACGGGGGAAAGGGGGGGAUUCUUUCGAGAACCUCUCACUAUUGGAGCGGCCGAUAUCAGAUUAGCUAGUUGGUGAGGUAAAGGCUCACCAAGGCGACGAUCUGUAGCUGGUUUGAGAGGACGACCAGCCACACUGGGACUGAGACACGGCCCAGACUCCUACGGGAGGCAGCAGUGGGGGAAUUUUGGACAAUGGGGGAAACCUGAUCCAGCCAUCCCGCGUGUGCGAUGAAGGCCU
Molecule: ribosomal RNA, 393 nt
Filed under: uncultured soil bacterium
Lineage: Bacteria
Description: bacterial SSU rRNA
Rfam family: Bacterial small subunit ribosomal RNA
Source: RNAcentral